This 475-nucleotide ribosomal RNA is filed under the name uncultured bacterium. Its description in RNAcentral is "bacterial SSU rRNA". It matches the Rfam family "Bacterial small subunit ribosomal RNA", at positions 28 to 492 of the family's 1533-position model. The record is from RNAcentral.
GAUGAACGCUAGCGGCAAGCUUAAUACAUGCAAGUCGAGGGGCAGACGACGGGUAGCAAUACCUGGUGGCGACCGGCAAACGGGUGCGGAACACGUACGCAACCUUCCCAAAACAGGUGAAUAGCCUUUCGAAAGAGAGAUUAAUACACCGUAACAUAAUGAAGUGGCAUCACUUUAUUAUUAUAGGCAGCAAUGUCGGUUUUGGAUGGGCGUGCGCCUGAUUAGGUAGUUGGCGGGGAACGGCCCACCAAGCCUGCGAUCAGUAACUGGUGUGAGAGCACGACCAGUCACACGGGCACUGAGACACGGGCCCGACUCCUACGGGAGGCAGCAGUAAGGAAUAUUGGUCGAAUGGACGCAAGUCUGAACCAAGCUAUGCCGCGUGAAGGAUGAAGGUCCUCUGGAUUGUAAACUUCUUUUAUCUGGGACGAAAGAGCUCUUUCUAGAGCACUUGACGGUACCAGAGGAAUAAGCA